RNAcentral lists this ribosomal RNA (153 nucleotides) under uncultured fungus. RNAcentral describes it as "5.8S ribosomal RNA". It matches the Rfam family "5.8S ribosomal RNA". Rfam says of the family: 5.8S ribosomal RNA (5.8S rRNA) is a component of the large subunit of the eukaryotic ribosome. It is transcribed by RNA polymerase I as part of the 45S precursor that also contains 18S and 28S rRNA. The record is from RNAcentral. Lineage: Eukaryota; Fungi.
AACUUUUGGCAACGGAUCUCUUGGCUCUCGCAACGAUGAAGAACGCAGCGAAAUGCGAUAAGUAGUGUGAAUUGCAGAAUUCAGUGAAUCAUCGAAUCUUUGAACGCACAUUGCGCUUCCUGGUAUUCCGGGGAGCAUGCUCGUUUCAGAAUC